ACUCGCCGGGUGCCUGUUAACAUCCCCGACUACUUUUACAUCACCCCAGCUUUGCAGAUCUACUCCUUCAAAAUUUUUAGACUAAAUGAAAACUUGAACUGGCCGCUCCACGUGUACGGUGUGGUCGCUGCUCGAGACGAUGUAGACAGUAACCGCAACCUUCUCUUCUGCCGGUCGAGGGCUAAUUGCCAAGUACUCACUGAAAAGGAUCCUUUUCUACGCUUGACCGGCCCUUCCCGUGCAAUUCAAGCUAAGGCACCUGUUGACUUUGAAGUCGAACUGAAGAUAAAAUAUGGAACCGAGUCCAAAGAUAUAGCAUUCUUCUGUUCUACCAACCAUCACCAUAUGCACAAUCAUACCGCUUGGUUCCCCGGUUCCUCUUGUGAUGGAGAGAUAAGCCUUCAAACAAUUGGUAGAGCGGUUCAGGCCACUGUCCUGGGUGUUUGCGUACUUGAAGGUGGGCCGCCUUUUGAAUAUGGAUGUCGAGUCGCUUGCUCCCUAUCAUCUGCAGAGCCUAUUGAGGAUCUCCCGUCGAACCAAGUUGUGUUGCUUGAUUGUCACGGUGAACAAAUUCCUGUAGAAUCAGAUGGUUAUCUUAAUCUAUCAAGGAAUGUUGUCACCGCAGAAUUACAAGGAACACUAAAAGUUGUCAUCCAAGCAUACUCGGAAUCUGGUGCUAUUGCUGGACAGGGGGAUGUCGAUUUCCCUGCCCAACAUUGCCAGAUGAGUAGGGGUGUGUGUUUUGUU
RNAcentral lists this ribosomal RNA (747 nucleotides) under Triticum aestivum (bread wheat). Its description in RNAcentral is "partial small subunit ribosomal RNA". The record is from RNAcentral. Lineage: Eukaryota; Viridiplantae; Streptophyta; Magnoliopsida; Poales; Poaceae.